UUACGAAAUUAAAAUUUUAUUUUAUAGUGAAAUUAUAAUGUUUUAUUUAUAAACUACGAAAAUAGAAAU
RNAcentral lists this transfer RNA (69 nucleotides) under Eurrhacini sp. UPOL A00622. RNAcentral describes it as "tRNA-Gln". Lineage: Eukaryota; Metazoa; Arthropoda; Insecta; Coleoptera; Lycidae. The record is from RNAcentral.